UACGGGGGGGGCAAGCGUUGUUCGGAAUUACUGGGCGUAAAGGGCUCGUAGGCGGCCAACUAAGUCAGACGUGAAAUCCCUCGGCUUAACCGGGGAACUGCGUCUGAUACUGGAUGGCUUGAGUGUGGGAGAGGGAUGCGGAAUUCCAGGUGUAGCGGUGAAAUGCGUAGAUAUCUGGAGGAACACCGGUGGCGAAGGCGGCAUCCUGGACCAAUACUGACGCUGAGGAGCGAAAGCCAGGGGAGCAAACGGG
Molecule: ribosomal RNA, 253 nt
Filed under: uncultured bacterium
Lineage: Bacteria
Description: partial 16S ribosomal RNA
Rfam family: Bacterial small subunit ribosomal RNA
Source: RNAcentral